ACGGGUGAGUAACACGUGGGUAACCUGCCUGUAAGACUGGGAUAACUCCGGGAAACCGGAGCUAAUACCGGAUAGUUCCUUGAACCGCAUGGUUCAAGGAUGAAAGACGGUUUCGGCUGUCACUUACAGAUGGACCCGCGGCGCAUUAGCUAGUUGGUGGGGUAAUGGCUCACCAAGGCGACGAUGCGUAGCCGACCUGAGAGGGUGAUCGGCCACACUGGGACUGAGACACGGCCCAGACUCCUACGGGAGGCAGCAGUAGGGAAUCUUCCGCAAUGGACGAAAGUCUGACGGAGCAACGCCGCGUGAGUGAUGAAGGUUUUCGGAUCGUAAAGCUCUGUUGUUAGGGAAGAACAAGUGCGAGAGUAACUGCUCGCACCUUGACGGUACCUAACCAGAAAGCCACGGCUAACUACGUGCCAGCAGCCGCGGUAAUACGUAGGUGGCAAGCGUUGUCCGGAAUUAUUGGGCGUAAAGGGCUCGCAGGCGGUUUCUUAAGUCUGAUGUGAAAGCCCCCGGCUCAACCGGGGAGGGUCAUUGGAAACUGGGAAACUUGAGUGCAGAAGAGGAGAGUGGAAUUCCACGUGUAGCGGUGAAAUGCGUAGAGAUGUGGAGGAACACCAGUGGCGAAGGCGACUCUCUGGUCUGUAACUGACGCUGAGGAGCGAAAGCGUGGGGAGCGAACAGGAUUAGAUACCCUGGUAGUCCACGCCGUAAACGAUGAGUGCUAAGUGUUAGGGGGUUUCCGCCCCUUAGUGCUGCAGCUAACGCAUUAAGCACUCCGCCUGGGGAGUACGGUCGCAAGACUGAAACUCAAAGGAAUUGACGGGGGCCCGCACAAGCGGUGGAGCAUGUGGUUUAAUUCGAAGCAACGCGAAGAACCUUACCAGGUCUUGACAUCCUCUGACAACCCUAGAGAUAGGGCUUUCCCUUCGGGGACAGAGUGACAGGUGGUGCAUGGUUGUCGUCAGCUCGUGUCGUGAGAUGUUGGGUUAAGUCCCGCAACGAGCGCAACCCUUGAUCUUAGUUGCCAGCAUUCAGUUGGGCACUCUAAGGUGACUGCCGGUGACAAACCGGAGGAAGGUGGGGAUGACGUCAAAUCAUCAUGCCCCUUAUGACCUGGGCUACACACGUGCUACAAUGGACAGAACAAAGGGCUGCAA
RNAcentral lists this ribosomal RNA (1163 nucleotides) under Bacillus pumilus. RNAcentral describes it as "bacterial SSU rRNA". It matches the Rfam family "Bacterial small subunit ribosomal RNA", at positions 102 to 1252 of the family's 1533-position model. The record is from RNAcentral. Lineage: Bacteria; Bacillati; Bacillota; Bacilli; Caryophanales; Bacillaceae.